CUUACAUCUCUUCGGAGCAUUUACGAGGUGCUGCAUGGUUGUCGUCAGCUCGUGCCGUGAGGUGUCGGGUUAAGGUCCCAUAACGAGCGCAACCCCUACCUUUAGUUGCCAUCAGGUAAUGCUGGGGACUCUAAAGGAACUGCCUACGCAAGUAGUGAGGAAGGCGGGGAUGACGUCAAAUCAGCACGGCCCUUACGUCCAGGGCUACACACGUGCUACAAUGGCCGAUACAGAGGGCAGCUACCUGGUGACAGGAUGCAAAUCUCCAAAGUCGGUCUCAGUUCGGAUCGGAGUCUGCAACCCGACUCCGUGAAGUUGGAUUCGCUAGUAAUCGCGCAUCAGCCAUGGCGCGGUGAAUACGUUCCCGGGCCUU
RNAcentral lists this ribosomal RNA (373 nucleotides) under uncultured Sphingobacteriales bacterium. RNAcentral's name for it is "bacterial SSU rRNA". It matches the Rfam family "Bacterial small subunit ribosomal RNA", at positions 1009 to 1382 of the family's 1533-position model. Lineage: Bacteria; Pseudomonadati; Bacteroidota; Sphingobacteriia; Sphingobacteriales. The record is from RNAcentral.